CAUUUUUAACCCAUAUUCUUUAUGUGAAAACAUCUUCAGAAUACAUUAAAAAUAUUGUGUUAUUUCACUUUCAGCACCAUCAGAUACUUCUUCAUCCCCUGUUAAUACCCCACCAGUAGGUUAUGAUAAGUUAUCUGCAAACCCUCCUCUAUACAACAGUACGUUCUUACCUAGUGACUGUGGUACUAGUGAAGAUGAGAGUGGGAGUUACGGAUCCUUUGGAAGAGGGCCCUUGGGACAUCCGUUAAGGAGUUUUAGUGUUCCUGAACCCCCUACUUCAACCACCACACAGCCACCCAUUGUUAAUAAACCCAAACUAUCGACAAGUCCUUUAAAAUUGGGUGAAAUCAGUAAUACUGCACUGUCAGGUACUAUUUCUGACACUCCAUCACAUAAUGCUCGACCAGAGCCGUUAAUAACUGCCUGUAAACCUUUAAAGGAGGAUCAAAUACUGCCAUCUUACAGUACAGAAGAACUGAAUCAAGAAAUGGCUAACCUAGAGGGCUUAAUGAAAGACUUGAAUGCAAUCACUGCUUCAGAGUUUGAGUGCUGACGUUGUUGUAAAAUAUUGUAAAGAGUGCUGAGUUAAGAGAGUGCUGUUAGCCAUCAGGUUUCCAUAGGAUGAAUUAGAGGUUAUUGUCUAAGCUCACAAAAUGCCUAUACCAAGAAAAUAUGAUGAUGAAUGUGAAAUAAUCACAUUGUGCCAAAAUUAUGUCAAAAAUGUGUAGAUAGUGUGUACAUUGUUAGCAGCAGGCUUUAAGGAAUCUGUUUUUUUUUCUUCCGGUUUCCAUUCUGUAGUAAUAAUUAACACAGUUAUUGAACUACUUCAAUGACUCUAGCUAUGUUUAUGCCAGGUUUUCCAUUGAAUCUCAUGGCAUGCCUCUUAGAGGUUGUACAUACAGUCUCUGACAGAGUAUUUUACCUAAAUCUUCAUAUUCUCAGAAAUGGUGUUUGCCUAACAGUAUUUCAUGUGUGUUUUUAGUGAAAGUUAAAAUUAAAGUUACUGUUCACCGUAUUGCUUACUUUAUUCCGAAAAAAUCUUUGGCUAUCUUAAGGUUUCAACUGAGAACAUCUCGUACCUCACGAGAUAAAAUUAUUUUACUAUGAAAGACAGUAAAUUCUCUCUAUCUUAAGUGAAGAAUGGUACUACUUUAUUGGUACAAAAGACUAAUAUAGUUUUUAUUUGUGACAUUAGUGCUAUUCUGUGCAUGUAAAUAUGGAUAUAAGACAUAUAUAUAUAUAUAAUUUUGGAUGAGAGACGUGUAAAGUAUAUGGCCCAUUCUAAACUUAGCAGAUUUGUUGACAUUUUGUAUUGAUGACAGCUAAUAAAAAGAAAAAUGAUGAAUUCUUA
Molecule: long non-coding RNA, 1351 nt
Organism: Limulus polyphemus (Atlantic horseshoe crab)
Lineage: Eukaryota; Metazoa; Arthropoda; Merostomata; Xiphosura; Limulidae
Exons: 3
Source: RefSeq, a predicted model, not a curated record